Suricata suricatta (meerkat) is the source of this 630-nucleotide long non-coding RNA. RefSeq lists it as uncharacterized. The transcript has 4 exons. Lineage: Eukaryota; Metazoa; Chordata; Mammalia; Carnivora; Herpestidae. The record is from RefSeq and is a predicted model, not a curated record.
UUGGCCUUGGCUUCCCCCAGAAUGAGGGGCACUUCCGGGGCCCCCAGGCCAUCCCCUGCCUGCAGAGUUCCCCAAGGACCUCAGCAGCAGACGACAGGUCCUAUUCAUGCUGCAGAGGGCGAGGACAGCUUAACUCCCUGACCCAGACACAGGCCCGCUUGCCGAAACAUUGUUGAAGAUGUAAGGCUGCAUCUGAAGUCGGGCAGCAAUGAUGGGUGAGGACACUGAGGCCCAGAGAAGAUGUGACACAGCCAGCUCAGGUUGGAAGCACACGCCUUGCUCUCUUCUCAGGGCUGUGUCCAUCCCGUCGGCGACCUGGGAAGGGACUGCUCUGGUGGCGUCUAGGACACCUGAUCAUGGGGGAGGUGCAGACUGAAUGCAAGGGCUCCAAAGUUAGACGUGACCCCAAGCCCAGAUCAGCUUUGUAAGCAGAGGUGACCUCGGGGAGUCCAUUGACUGCUCUGGGCUUCAUGGUUCUCAUCUGUAAAAGACAAAUGAAAAUUAGGGAGAACAGGAUAUUCUUCACAAGGCUAUUAUUGGGGACAUUAGAUAACCUCAUGUAAGUAAGAGGUUCUGGGGGUACCUGGGUGGCUCAGUUGGUCCGACUUCAGCUCAGGUCAUGAUCUCACA